Dipodomys ordii (Ord's kangaroo rat) is the source of this 58-nucleotide non-coding RNA. Lineage: Eukaryota; Metazoa; Chordata; Mammalia; Rodentia; Heteromyidae. The record is from Rfam.
UGACUCAGUGGUAGAGUGCUUGCCUUGCAUGCAUGAGGCCCUGGGUUCGAUUCCUCAG